This 464-nucleotide ribosomal RNA is filed under the name uncultured bacterium. Its description in RNAcentral is "partial 16S ribosomal RNA". It matches the Rfam family "Bacterial small subunit ribosomal RNA", at positions 29 to 507 of the family's 1533-position model. The record is from RNAcentral.
AUGAACGCUGGCGGCGUGCUUAACACCUGCCAGUCGAACGGAAAGGCUCCUGCUUGCAGGGGUACUCGAGUGGCGAACGGGUGAGUAACACGUGGGUGAUCUGCCCUGCACUUCGGGAUAAGCCUGGGAAACUGGGUCUAAUACCGGAUAGGACCACAUUUUGGAUGGUGUGGUGGAAAGUUUUUCGGUGUGGGAUGAGCUCGCGGGCUAUCAGCUUGUUGGUGGGGUAAUGGCCUACCAAGGCGUCGACGGGUAGCCGGCCUGCGAGGGUGUACGGCCACAUUGGGACUGAGAUACGGCGCAGACUCCUACGGGAGGCAGCAGGGGGGAAUAUUGCACAAUGGGCGCAAGCCUGAGGCAGCGACGCCGCGUGGGGGAUGACGGCCUUCGGGUUGUAAACUCCUUUCGCUAGGGACGAAGCGCAAGUGACGGUACCUGGAGAAGAAGCACCGGCUAACUACGUG